This 408-nucleotide ribosomal RNA is filed under the name Triticum aestivum (bread wheat). RNAcentral's name for it is "partial small subunit ribosomal RNA". The record is from RNAcentral. Lineage: Eukaryota; Viridiplantae; Streptophyta; Magnoliopsida; Poales; Poaceae.
AUGGCCGGCCACCGGAACAAGGUCUCCUGGUCCUCCGGCCUCUGCGGCUGCUUCGACGACCUCGGCGGCUGCUGCCUGACACUCUUCUGCCCGUGCAUCACCUUCGGAAGGAUCGCCGAGAUCGUCGACAAGGGGGCCAUAUCAUGCUGUGCGAGUGGGACGAUGCAUGUGCUGCAGGGCUUGGGGACGUCGGCGAUAGGCUCCAUCCUCUACCACUGCUGCGAUCGUGCCAGGCUGCGGGCGGAGCACGGGCUGGAGGAGAAGCCAUGCGCCGACUGCUGCACACCUUCUGCGGGUAUUGUGCCCUCUGCCAGGAGUAUCGCGAGCUCAAGGGUCGCGGCUUUGACAUGCAGGCGGGAUGGCAUGCCAACAUGGAGAGGAUGGGGAAGACUGUCGCGCCCCAGAUGA